AUAGUAGUGUCUAGAGUUUGUAUCCUUGGCGUCCAGGAUGAACGCUGGCGGCGUGCCUAACACAUGCAAGUCGAGCGCGUCUUAUCGGUGCUUGCACUGAGAAAGAUGAGCGGCGGACGGGUGAGUAACGCGUGGAUAACCUGCCCUAUACACAUGGAUAACAUACUGAAAAGUUUACUAAUACAUGAUAAUAUAUAUUUACGGCAUCGUAGAUAUAUCAAAGUGUUAGCGGUAUAGGAUGGACCCGCGUCUGAUUAGCUAGUUGGUGAGAUAACUGCCCACCAAGGCGACGAUCAGUAGCCGACCUGAGAGGGUGAACGGCCACAAGGGGACUGAGACACGGCCCUU
This 348-nucleotide ribosomal RNA is filed under the name uncultured bacterium. RNAcentral's name for it is "bacterial SSU rRNA". It matches the Rfam family "Bacterial small subunit ribosomal RNA", at positions 1 to 334 of the family's 1533-position model. The record is from RNAcentral.